GGCCUCCCAGGCUGAGUCCGUUACACCGACUGUAUAGCAAGAGGAGACCCAGUGGUCCCACCUCUCAGACAGCCCAACCGAGGCCCUUUGCCCAGUUGUACCGUGAAUGGGGGAGAGUUUG
RNAcentral lists this small nucleolar RNA (121 nucleotides) under Sorex araneus (European shrew). Its description in RNAcentral is "Small nucleolar RNA SNORA51 (ENSSARG00000019307.1)". The record is from RNAcentral. Lineage: Eukaryota; Metazoa; Chordata; Mammalia; Eulipotyphla; Soricidae.